AAUAUUUUACCGCCGGGUAAAGCUGAGAAGCGUUGGAUAUCAUAUCAUUAGGCCUUAGAAGAUAUGAUUAUCUGCCGCUUUUAUUUU
Molecule: non-coding RNA, 87 nt
Filed under: unclassified sequences
Source: RNAcentral